GACCCCUUAUAGAUGAUGAGGUUGAUAGGUCUGAGGUGGAAGCGUGGUGACACGUGGAGCUGACAGAUACUAAUCGGUCGAGGACUUAACCAA
Molecule: ribosomal RNA, 93 nt
Filed under: Scopulibacillus daqui
Lineage: Bacteria; Bacillati; Bacillota; Bacilli; Caryophanales; Sporolactobacillaceae
Description: partial 23S ribosomal RNA
Rfam family: Bacterial large subunit ribosomal RNA
Source: RNAcentral